Molecule: ribosomal RNA, 440 nt
Filed under: uncultured bacterium
Lineage: Bacteria
Description: partial 16S ribosomal RNA
Rfam family: Bacterial small subunit ribosomal RNA
Source: RNAcentral
CCUACGGGUGGCAGCAGUGGGGAAUAUUGCACAAUGGGGGAAACCCUGAUGCAGCGACGCCGCGUGAGUGAAGAUGUAAUUCGUUAGGUAAAGCUCUAUCAGCAGGGAAGAAUCAGACGGUCCCUGAGUAAGACGCCCCUGCCAACUACGUGCCAGCCGCCGCGGUAAUACGUAGGGGGCAAGCGUUAUCCGGGUUUACUGGCUGUAAAGGGAGCGUUGACGGCGAAGAAAGUCUUAAGUGAAAGCCCGCGGCUUAACCGCGGAAGUGCUUUGGAAACUUUUUUGCUGGAGUACCGAAGAGGUAAGCGGAAUGCCUAGUGUAGCGGUGAAAUGCGUAGAUAUUAGGAGGAACACCAGUGGCGAAGGCGGCUUACGGGACGGUAACUGACGUUGAGGCUCGAAAGCGUGGGGAGCAAACAGGAUUAGAUACCCGGGUAGUC